GCUGCCCGAGAACAUGGCCCGUCUGUGGGGGAGACGGCCAGCUGACCUCCCCUCUCUGGUCCUCACCUGUCCUCCCCACUGUGUCGGCUCACAUCCUGGCAAGUGCACAAAACUGACAAAAACCUUCAGUUCAGGACAAAAUGGCCAAACUAGUCUUUAUUAAUCUCUCUAUAAUGUGAUUAUUCUUCAGCUACUUCAUCCUGAAACUAAAAAUAUCACAAUAACCUCUAAACUAGCAGAAAAACGUACUUAAAGUAUAAAAAUAAGUAUGAAUGGAACCUUUCUGGGGUUAAAUGUAGAGCCUUAUACACCCCGACAAACAAUUUUUAAAAAUCUAAUGGAAACUAAACAAUAUUUUGUGCACACAAGCUUUUAUUGUGUAGGGCCUACACUUGCAUACAAGAUUAUUCAACCCCUCUGACAUUUCUGACAUUCCUGCAAAAUGAGCAACAUCACAACUGCAGGCGUCUAAAUCAUUUAAGAGGUGAACAGUUUGGUGUUAUAUUUCAAUAAACGAAGAAAAAAAUCAAGAUUUAUUUCAUAAUCUAUCCAACAUUUGAACUUUUCUACAAAAAGCAGGUUGUAAAACUAUUCCACCCCCUAUAAACAAUGCUGGUAAAUACAAAUAACUGCAGUCCAACUCUAAUCCAUCCAUCUGUAUGUAGACAUUUAGAGGUGAACUCAACGAUGACGCAUGUUAAACACUGAAUAACACUGAUGUCUAUAAAAUGAGGACACUUUGUGUCAGUACUCCUCCUCUAGCUGCACCAUGGUCCAGACCAGAGAGAUGUUCCUGAAGUUUAGAGAGGAGAAAGUUGCUAGAAAGGAAAUGGGUCCAAGAAGAUCUCCAAGCUCUAGAAUGUUCCCAGAGACUCUGUUGGAAGCAUCAUUGGUAAGUUCAAAGCCACUGGUACUGUGGCUACACUAGAUGGUGGAAGAAGGAAGCUGUCAGCGAGAACAUCAAAGUUCCUGGAGACAGAUGGACCAGAACCCUCGGCUUACUGUCAAGGACCUGCAGGAAGAUCUGGCUGGAAGAGGAACUGAUGUUUCUGUGAAGACACUCCAUGCUGAAGGACUUAAUGCCAGAUCCCCUAGAUCAGGGGUCUGCAACCUUUAACACUCAAAGGGCAAUUUCGACCCGUUUCUCACAGAAAAGAAAACACCGGGAGCCGCAAAAUCCUUUUGGCAUUUAAAAUGAAGACAACACUGCAUAUAUCACUUUUUUACCUCUAUGCCCUUGUUAAUCAGUCGUGAUUAAUUAAUUACAAAGCCUCUAAUUAGAUAGAUUCAUUUUUUUAAUUGUGUCCUACCACUAAUAUUUAUCUUACUUGGUUAAUGUCAUUUUUGCUCCUGGACCUCAUAUGUUACGUAAUGUUAGCUGGAAAUCAAUCAUUUGCGAAUGUCUGUUUAACUUGUAAAAUCUAUUUAUCUUAAGCUAAUAACUUUUCUCCGGUAAGUCGCUGCCCUAUUUUCCAAGACGACACUCCUCUGACUCUCUGACCUGCUGCCUGGAUGCUGGACGUGACAUCGAGCCGUGUUCUCGUGAGUAACGUCGUAUUAACCUGACAUAUCAAAGAGUAGAUACUGAGCAAGACAAUUAUCUGUAGUUUACCUUCGUACUCAUGAGUACCCGACACAAUGCAGGACUCUGCUGUGAAGGUGGAGACGUGCGGCGGCGGUGUAUUUGUGACAAUUUUUUUUUAAAAAGAAAUUUGAAGGAGCGACAGCUAGGAUGUAGGAGUGGUGGCCCGCCACUGCUGAAUGAAUGCAGAGCAAACACUGGGAUCCAAAGAUCAACAGGACUCCAAAUGAAUACAUGCAGGCCGUUACAGAGAGCCACAACAGAGGGCUGAAAGAGCCUCAUGCGGCUCCGGAGCUGUGGGUUGCCGACCCCUGCCCUAGACGGACACCUCUUCUGAAAACACACCACAUGAACAAUGGUCUUCAGUCUGCUAGAACUAACCUAUCAAAGCCACAGAACUUCUGGGAAUCGGUUCUAUGGACUGAUGAGACCAAACUAGAGCUCUUUGGUCCUAUGGAUCAGAGGAAUGUCUGGGAGGAAGAACGAGGCCUACGAGGAGAAGAACACCCUUUUCCUGCUGUGAAGCAUGGUGGUGGAUCUGGGAUGCUGUGGGGGUGUUCUGCUUCUAAUGGAACCAGGAAUCUCCAACGUGUUGAAGGCACCAUGGAUUCGGGAAGUACCAGGAUGUUCUGGACAAGAAUGUCCCUCAGUCCAUGAAGACAACGACCCCAAACACACAUCAGAACCAACAAAGGCUGGUUAGAGAAGAAAGCCUGGAAGGUUCUAGAGUGGACAUCACAACCUCCAGACUGAAACCCAGUGGAGAAUCUGUGGUGGGUCUGAAGAAAGCUGCUGCAGCACGUAGACCUGAGAACAUCACUGGGCUGGAGACCAUCGACCAUGAGGAAUGGACUAAAAUUCCCAAGGAGCUGCCAGAAGCUUGUUAGAAGCGAUACCUCUGUCUACAGCAGGUCAUUGGAGCUAAAGGUGCUGAAGAUACAGAAUCAUAGGACCUGAAGAUACAAACUCAUGGGAGCUGAAGAUACAGCCUGAUAGGGGGUGGAAUCAUUUGGCAACCUACUUUUUUAUUUUUAAAAAAGUUAUAAUUUUGGAUGGGUUAUGAACUAAAUCUUGAUUUUCUUUCUUUAGUUUUAUAUUUUAAUAAACUAACUGUUCACCUCA
Acanthochromis polyacanthus (spiny chromis) is the source of this 2704-nucleotide long non-coding RNA. RefSeq lists it as uncharacterized. The transcript is spliced from 2 exons. NCBI's taxonomy places the organism in Eukaryota, Metazoa, Chordata, Actinopteri, Pomacentridae. The record is from RefSeq and is a predicted model, not a curated record.